AUCUCUACAUUUUUCAUAUGAGGAAAUUAAAGCUUAGAAAGUUUAUCUUUCUCAAGAACUGUUCAAAUUCCUGUCUUAGAAAUUAGAAAUUGGGAAAAUGAAUCCAUUCCUUAUAGAAAAAUUUUAUUGUAGACAUACAGUAGAGAAUCAGUUCCUAAUGGAAAAACUUUAUUUUUAUUUUAUCAUAGAGCAAGAUCAGGAAGAGAUCUCCUUCCACACAGGGGAAGGAAAUUGUUUUUUUUAUUAUGUAUGAGGCUGAGAUUGAAGGUGAUGGAAAGGAAAUAAUUGAAUAUGAGGGGUUGAAACACCAUGUGAGGAGAGAGGGUAAGGGCUCUCUUGGUGGCUAGGUCUUUUCAUUCUUGUGUUGAUAACUGUAAGAGACUUCCUUUCUCUGGAGUUCAUUUGAAUUGAUUUUUGGUUCUUUGUGACCUAAAGGUCCAAAUUAAAGCAGACCUGUAUAUUUGUAUAUAUUUGCUAGCUUAGUUUCAAUUAAGUAGAGGAAAUCUUGACUGAAAAGUGAUUAUAUUCCAGAAGUGUAUUUAUGAAUUUGAUUGGAAUCUAGGAAAUGGUUUCUCAUGAAAACAAUUAUAAGUGAUAAUUAUAUUCUUUAGUUAGUUCAUAUAGGUUAUAUCAGGUUGAACUACUAUAUAUUAUUAUGUAAUAAAAAUAGAUAACACUAUUGAAAUAUGUUUAUUAAAGUAAAGUCAGUGAUUCAAAUGAAGACUAAAAUAGUUUUUCUCAAAUGCUGGUACCUGAAGAAAAGCAGACUUAAUUAAAGAAGCAUAGGGUAGUAGAUAUAAAUUUACAUGACAGUUUUGGCUGCUUCAUAUUUAUUUAAAACAACUGUAUUGAAGGUGUUUAGUAUCCAUGACAGAUAAUUUGUGUUUAAAACUGUAAUGAAAUGAGAAAGGAUGGAGAUAUAUUUCUUUGGUCUGUGAAAGAUAGAGGGAAAGGAACAUGAUACAUGAUCCCUACCUCCUAUGUUAAAAGCAUUAUUUGUGGGCACCAAAUUUCUGUUCAUUGGUUCUUAAACUCUUCGGUCUGUGGACCACUUUAUACUCUUAAAAGUUAUUCAGGACACCAACGAGUUUUUGUUUAUGUUGUUAUGUCUAUUGAUAUUUUUUGUACUUGAAAUUAAAAAAGAAAUAUUGAAUAUAGAGACAUACAUUCCAUUAGUCAUCAGAGUGAUUAUGUUAUCACAAGGUCAUAUAGUGUCUGAGAAACUCCACUGUAUACUCAGAAAAUGAGAGUAGAAAAGGCAUUUAACCUGUUAGCCAUAUUAUUAAAAUAGUUUUGACUUUAUAGCUAUCCUGAGCAGGUCUUGAGUGAGAAACCCUGGAUCAAACUUUGAAGACUGCUCCUGUAGUUAUAGUAAUUCUGUUUUGAAACUCUUUAUUUUAAAUGGGAGAAGACUUUAGUCUUCUUAAGUCGAUGCAAGAAAUAAACCAUUUUCAGAAUGUGUAUAUUUUAUGUUGAGCAAACUCAUCACUCUUAAAUUCAGUUAUUUUACAUAAUGAAAGAAAACAAUUUGAGUUGACUUUGUAUUUAGUUUUAGAUUGGAUGACCAAAAUAUGAAGAAAAAAAGAGAUGGAUAGUGUUGAUUAUAGGUGUGUGUGUGUGUGUGUGUGUGUGUGUGUGUGUGUGUGUGUGUGUGUUGGGGAGAAGUGUUUUGGUCAAAUGGAAUUGAGCUGGUACUGGAAAUGUGAUCUCUGUGGCUCAUCUAAUGGUGGUCAUUUUGCUCUGUUUUUAGCCAUACAUUGUGGUUCACUAUAUGGCUGUUACUUGAGUCCUAUACCAGAAAGACUUAUGAUGGGUUGGCGCACAGAAAUGUCAUAUUUCAAUCACGACAUGAGAAAUGGUUGGAUUGCCUGUCCUACUAGGAGAUUCUCGACUGACAUUUUAUCGUGUUAUUGUGUUCCACGCUAUUUAGUUCCUUCUGGAGCCUUCCGAAUUUCACAUGCACUGCUUUCAUCAGCUCCUGCAGAGUGGAUAACUUACCUAGGGACCCAGGUCUUGCUGGACAAGCAGGCAAUUGUGAACAGAGACAGACUGGCCUUUUUUUUUUUUUUUUUUUUUUUUUGACUUAAAUUUUUAUAUUUUUUGCGUUUUAAAGUAUAGAUACUCAUUUUGGCAAUUUAUUGAAAAGUAAAAGCCAGUGAGUUUUCUGUAGGAAAUACAUAUCUUUAUCUGAAGUGGAAAGAUUGUGUAGAAGUGAGCCUGACUACCUGCUGGCUUUUCUUUCCAUAUUCAGUAACUUUUACAUUGUAACUGAAACAUUUUUCUAUCUCUAAACUAAGUAUAUCUUUGUUUUCUGGUACAUAUUUCUGUAAUGUAAACAUGCUUGUGUAGAUCUGAAGAAAACAAUGAGAAGCUGUUCUGUAUGCACAAAAUAUGGUGUCUUGUGGGGGUUUACCAAGGAGUAGAAGGGAGGGAUUUAUUUGAGGAGCUUUAAACUAGUUGCAAACUGGGAAUUUAUCUUGUAUAUCAUAAAGGUAUAAUUCUGCCAUCAGUUUAAAAGAAAAACAAGAUUUUGGUAGACUCUUGACUAAAAUGACUUGAACAAUGUUAGAGAAUUCUAAAAACUGGUAUAAAUCAGACUGCUAUAGAAGAGCAGCAAAAAAUUGGGGCUACUUUUUUGAUGUGUACUCAUUAUAAUUAGGUGUCUCUGUUGGCAGUUAGGUAACAGGAAAAUUUGAUAUGUUGUAUUUUAAUGAAAUAAUGGCACUUUAUAAAACUGAAAGUUAAUUUUAAAUAUUGUUUAGCUCAGCCAGCCAGAAUUUUGAUGUGGAUGUGGAAGAAAAGAGUCACCUUAUAAAGUGCAAGAAUAAAUAUAUAUGUUUUUAAAUGCUAAAGUAUGAAUUUUAAAUUUUUUUGCUGCUUUUUGAAAAUAUGUAAGAACUAAAUUAGGUUUUUGAUUAAUGACUAGUUAAUAACAGGGAAUAAAUAAGCAUGAUUCUAAAAAUCAAAUAGAAUGAAUUAGGAAUUGUUAAGACUUACGACGCUUUAAAAUUCUGUAUGAGAAAAUAGUGUAUUAUCAAGGGAUGAAUUGUGUUUUGUGUUGAUCGGGAGCUUUGCUAUUUUUAAAAAUUUAUUUCUAUUUUCUGCAAUUAUAACAUUGUUUCCCAUCUCUCAGACUGAAUUUGAACUGAUUUCUUCUUAACACCAUUAAGCAACUUAGUAAUCAGUGGCAUUUAAUUUUUGUAAAGCAAAACUUAGGGCUUUGGGUGCUUCCAAUAAAACUAAAAAGCCAUUGAAA
Leopardus geoffroyi (Geoffroy's cat) is the source of this 3256-nucleotide long non-coding RNA. RefSeq lists it as uncharacterized. The record is from RefSeq and is a predicted model, not a curated record. NCBI's taxonomy places the organism in Eukaryota, Metazoa, Chordata, Mammalia, Carnivora, Felidae. The transcript is spliced from 3 exons.